Non-coding RNA from Miniopterus natalensis, 445 nucleotides. The record is from RefSeq and is a predicted model, not a curated record. Lineage: Eukaryota; Metazoa; Chordata; Mammalia; Chiroptera; Miniopteridae.
CAGUGAUGGCUUCAGGAAAGGACACUUGUCCUACCUUACCUAAGCUGGCCAACAACUGUUCUGAUGAGCAUUCAUAUAAGCCUGCUAAUAAGUGAUGAGGUUCAUUUGCCACGGUUUUCAUUAAAACAAGGGAUGAUCCCAAGACGAUAUGUUAUGCCUUGGAAGGAAAGCAUGACAUUCAGGAAUAUAAAUCUGAAGCAUGCAGAAAUGUGCGGGAUCCACGCUGGGCCUCUAGAAGACUCUCUGUUUCUGGAACACAGUGAAAGGCUUUGCCAUGGGGAAGAUCGGAAAGCUGUCUUGAAGAAAGGCCCUCCAGAGAUAAAAAUUGCAGAUAUGCCUCUGCAUUCACCUCUCUCCAGAUACCAAAGCACGGUGAUUUCCCACGGCUUCAGGAGGCGGCUGGUUUGAUGAAAGAAGAAUAAAGCGAUGAAGUGUUUCACCCUCU